Molecule: ribosomal RNA, 253 nt
Filed under: uncultured bacterium
Lineage: Bacteria
Description: partial 16S ribosomal RNA
Rfam family: Bacterial small subunit ribosomal RNA
Source: RNAcentral
UACGUAGGGUGCAAGCGUUAUUCGGAAUUACUGGGCGUAAAGCGUGCGCAGGCGGUUUUGUAAGUCAGAUGUGAAAUCCCCGGGCUUAACCUGGGAACUGCGUUUGAAACUACAAGGCUAGAGUGUGGCAGAGGGGGGUGGAAUUCCACGUGUAGCAGUGAAAUGCGUAGAGAUGUGGAGGAACACCGAUGGCGAAGGCAGCCCCCUGGGUUAACACUGACGCUCAGGCACGAAAGCGUGGGGAGCAAACAGG